RNAcentral lists this unclassified non-coding RNA (345 nucleotides) under soil metagenome. RNAcentral's name for it is "partial contains 5.8S ribosomal RNA, internal transcribed spacer 2, and large subunit ribosomal RNA". The stretch from base 1 to 120 matches the Rfam family "5.8S ribosomal RNA", at positions 35 to 154 of the family's 154-position model. The record is from RNAcentral.
GAUGAAGAACGUAGCGAAAUGCGAUACGUAAUGUGAAUUGCAGAAUUCAGUGAAUCAUCGAGUCUUUGAACGCACAUUGCGCCCCCUGGUAUUCCGGGGGGCAUGCCUGUCCGAGCGUCAUUGCUGCCCUCAAGCACGGCUUGUGUGUUGGGCCUCCGUCCUCCUCCCGGGGGACGGGCCCGAAAGGCAGCGGCGGCACCGCGUCCGGUCCUCGAGCGUAUGGGGCUUCGUCACCCGCUCUUGUAGGCCCGGCCGGCGCUUGCCGACACAUCAAUCUUUUUUCCAGGUUGACCUCGGAUCAGGUAGGGAUACCCGCUGAACUUAAGCAUAUCAAUAAGCGGAGGG